This 1323-nucleotide long non-coding RNA is filed under the name Homo sapiens (human). RNAcentral describes it as "HSALNT0052909". The record is from RNAcentral. Lineage: Eukaryota; Metazoa; Chordata; Mammalia; Primates; Hominidae.
AUUCAGACAAGUAGCAGCAGCUCCAGGGCUUCAGAUAAUUUCUGUGUUUCAGUUCUUUUCAUUCCAUCCCUCUCAAGUAGUGCUUUGUCUCAGGGGUUGUUGUUUAAAUUCAAGCUCCAUCAUUGUGACUGCUGUACUAGGAGAAAAGUCAGAAGAGUGGAAAAUUUUGAAGAAGUAUCUCUGGCAAGAAUCUAGAAAGUUGACCCCCCACAGCUGAAAGCACCUAUAAGCAAAUCUGUGGGAGAAUCAUUAAGACUGAAUGAGUUGUCAGUGUGGAGAGAAGUUUGAGGUAAAUGAAAGCAUUGCUACAUCUACAUUUGAAGUAAUGGUUUUCUUCUAGGACUAUCAAGGACUAUGUGGAUCUGACAGGCACUUCUGCUCAGCUCUCCUCUAGAGACUCCUAGAACAUCAUCGUUUCCUGAUUUCUUUGCUGGCUGCUUUUAUAACCAAACUCCAAACAUCAAAAUUAUCAUCUUAGUCCUGGGUGUUCUGUCCUAAUGUGUUAACUGCAAAAAUGACCUCAAUUCUUAGGAACUUCUGCCAUCAGUAGCUGGAGUCUAUUGGGUUUCAAGUCUGGGCCUCAAGAGGCAUUGCAAACUUUCAUCCUCUCUUUUGAGAUUUCAGCACCAUCACCAAAUGAACAAGUCCCAGGUAGCCUGCUGGAGGAUGUACAACCAUGUGGAACGCCGAUGAGCCAUCACAGCUGAGUUGUUUUGGACCUGCUAGCUCUAAACCAAUGUCGCAGCUGUCUGUAGAAGCACGAAUGAGAUAUGGCCAAGCUCCAUUGAGCCUGGCCCAGAUAAGCAGAACUGUUUCACGGAGCCCAGGACAAAUUGCCAAACCCCAGUAUUGUGUAUUCAAUAAUUUCUAGUUGUUCUAAGCCACUAAGUUUCAGGGUGACUUGUUAAGUGGUUAUAACUACCUAAUAAGUACAUUUUGUAUUUCCUUUUUAUUAUCAUCUACCAUAGCCUGUUAUUAUUUUCUUUGUUUGUUUAUUUAUUUAUUAGCUGUUUCUCUGCAAAUGUAGGACAAUUGCAUUGUCUUGUCCUCUGAUGUAUUCAAAACAGUUGGUGACUGGCACGUCAAAGACACUUAUUGAAAAGUUACUGAAUAAAUGAACACAUGAUUGGAUGAAUAAAUGUUUAUAGGUAAAACUUCCAAAAGUAUAUUGAUAAAAAUGAAUAUUUCUAUCAGUUAUAUUAAUAACUUAUUUGCUGUCUAGAAUGACUCAGGAAAUUUAAUGUAUAUUAUUAAAGCACAAUUUCUAUUUUUUGUUUUAGGUUGUUUUUCUGCCAUUGCUAUCUACUUUGAUUAUUUUGCUAU